Molecule: ribosomal RNA, 427 nt
Filed under: uncultured bacterium
Lineage: Bacteria
Description: partial 16S ribosomal RNA
Rfam family: Bacterial small subunit ribosomal RNA
Source: RNAcentral
UGGGGAAUAUUGCACAAUGGGCGCAAGCCUGAUGCAGCCAUGCCGCGUGUGUGAAGAAGGCCUUCGGGUUGUAAAGCACUUUCAGCGAGGAGGAAGGGUAGUGUGUUAAUAGCACAUUGCAUUGACGUUACUCGCAGAAGAAGCACCGGCUAACUCCGUGCCAGCAGCCGCGGUAAUACGGAGGGUGCAAGCGUUAAUCGGAAUUACUGGGCGUAAAGCGCACGCAGGCGGUUUGUUAAGUCAGAUGUGAAAUCCCCGUGCUUAACGUGGGAACUGCAUUUGAAACUGGCAAGCUAGAGUCUUGUAGAGGGGGGUAGAAUUCCAGGUGUAGCGGUGAAAUGCGUAGAGAUCUGGAGGAAUACCGGUGGCGAAGGCGGCCCCCUGGACAAAGACUGACGCUCAGGUGCGAAAGCGUGGGGAGCAAACA